CCUACGGGAGGCAGCAGUGAGGAAUAUUGGUCAAUGGGCGUAAGCCUGAACCAGCCAAGUCGCGUGAGGAAUGAAGGUUCUAUGGAUCGUAAACCUCUUUUAUAAGGGAAUAAAGUGUGGGACGUGUCCUAUUUUGUAUGUACCUUAUGAAUAAGGAUCGGCUAACUCCGUGCCAGCAGCCGCGGUAAUACGGAGGAUCCGAGCGUUAUCCGGAUUUAUUGGGUGUAAAGGGUGCGUAGGCGGCCUUUUAAGUCAGCGGUGAAAGUCUGUGGCUCAACCAUAGAAUUGCCGUUGAUACGGGAGGGCUUGAGUAUGUUUGAGGCAGGCGGAAUGCGUGGUGUAGCGGUGAAAUGCUUAGAUAUCACGCAGAACCCCGAUUGCGAAGGCAGCCUGCCAGGCCAUGACUGACGCUGAUGCACGAAAGCGUGGGGAUCAAACAGGAUUAGAUACCCUUGUAGUC
This 460-nucleotide ribosomal RNA is filed under the name uncultured bacterium. RNAcentral's name for it is "partial 16S ribosomal RNA". It matches the Rfam family "Bacterial small subunit ribosomal RNA", at positions 338 to 795 of the family's 1533-position model. The record is from RNAcentral.